CCCGUCGCCCUGCAGCUGGCUGAGGCGCUCUGGCAACUCUUUGACAAUGACAACAGCCUUGUGCAGCUGCUCUCCGUUCGCCUCUUCCAAGAGCUGAUGAAGCUGGUGGUGGCCAAGGGAAAAAAAGCCCCUGAAGAAGCGUGUGAGCAAGAGCCUGCUCCCACUCUUCUUCAACUGCCAUGAUGAGAACCAGCGUGUGGCACAGGCCUCUCGGGAAACGCUGCUUUCUGCAGUCAAGUUCCUGAAGAGAAGGGAUCUUCAGCACCUGGUGAAGACGGAUCAGAUGUGGAGCUUUGCCGAGUGCUUGCUGGCAGAGGACAGGAGCCGAGCG
This is a long non-coding RNA of Vidua chalybeata, 331 nucleotides long. RefSeq lists it as uncharacterized. The transcript has 4 exons. The record is from RefSeq and is a predicted model, not a curated record. NCBI's taxonomy places the organism in Eukaryota, Metazoa, Chordata, Aves, Passeriformes, Viduidae.